This 233-nucleotide unclassified non-coding RNA is filed under the name plant metagenome. Its description in RNAcentral is "partial contains small subunit ribosomal RNA, internal transcribed spacer 1, and 5.8S ribosomal RNA". The record is from RNAcentral.
UUUCCGUAGGUGAACCUGCGGAAGGAUCAUUACUGAGUGAGGGCCCUCUGGGUCCAACCUCCCACCCGUGUUUAUUAUACCUUGUUGCUUCGGUGAGCCCGCCUCACGGCCGCCGGGGGGCAUCUGCCCCCGGGCCCGCGCCCACCGAAGACACCUAGAACUCCGUAUGAAGAUUGCAGUCUGAGCAAAAACUAAAUAAGUUAAAACUUUCAACAACGGAUCUCUUGGUUCCG